CCUACGGGUGGCAGCAGUGAGGAAUAUUGGUCAAUGGACGCAAGUCUGAACCAGCCAUGCCGCGUGCAGGAAGACGGCUCUAUGAGUUGUAAACUGCUUUUGUACGAGGGUAAAUCCCGAUACGUGUAUCUGUUUGAAAGUAUCGUACGAAUAAGGAUCGGCUAACUCCGUGCCAGCAGCCGCGGUAAUACGGAGGAUUCAAGCGUUAUCCGGAUUUAUUGGGUUUAAAGGGUGCGUAGGCGGUUCGAUAAGUUAGAGGUGAAAUCCCGGGGCUCAACUCCGGCACUGCCUCUGAUACUGUUGGGCUAGAGAUUAGUUGCGGUAGGCGGAAUGUAUGGUGUAGCGGUGAAAUGCAUAGAGAUCAUACAGAACACCGAUUGCGAAGGCAGCUUACCAAGCUACGACUGACGUUGAGGCACGAAAGCGUGGGGAGCAAACAGGAUUAGAUACCCUAGUAGUC
This 460-nucleotide ribosomal RNA is filed under the name uncultured bacterium. Its description in RNAcentral is "partial 16S ribosomal RNA". It matches the Rfam family "Bacterial small subunit ribosomal RNA", at positions 338 to 795 of the family's 1533-position model. The record is from RNAcentral.